ACGACCUUACUUGAACAGGAUCUGUUCUAUAGGCUCGUACCUCUGUUUCCUUGAUUUCUAAGGAGACAGGCCCUUAACCCUGGUUGAUGAAUCAUGACCGUGCGAUCAAAACUUUACCCUAGAAUCUUAGCCAGGUUUAGCAGCUUUGGUCGCACGACCGUUGAAGAGUGGUAUGGGUGGUCGCACGGCGGUCUGACAGGUU
This 202-nucleotide small nucleolar RNA is filed under the name Arabidopsis lyrata subsp. lyrata. RNAcentral's name for it is "snoRNA Plant_U3". It matches the Rfam family "Plant small nucleolar RNA U3". From Rfam's summary of the family: Small nucleolar RNAs (snoRNAs) are involved in the processing and modification of rRNA in the nucleolus. There are two main classes of snoRNAs: the box C/D class, and the box H/ACA class. U3 snoRNA is a member of the box C/D class. Lineage: Eukaryota; Viridiplantae; Streptophyta; Magnoliopsida; Brassicales; Brassicaceae. The record is from Rfam by way of RNAcentral.